UACGAAGGGUGCAAACGUUGCUCGGAAUCAUUGGGCGUAAAGCACACGUAGGCGGCCUAUUAAGUCGGAUGUGAAAUCCCUCGGCUCAACCGAGGACGUGCAUACGAAACUGGUAGGCUCGAGUAUGGAAGAGGGUCGCGGAAUUCCCGGUGUAGAGGUGAAAUUCGUAGAUAUGGGGAGGAACACCGGUGGCGAAGGCGGCCAUCUGGACGGCUAUUGACGCUGAGACGCGAAAGCGUGGGGAGCAAACAGG
Molecule: ribosomal RNA, 253 nt
Filed under: uncultured bacterium
Lineage: Bacteria
Description: partial 16S ribosomal RNA
Rfam family: Bacterial small subunit ribosomal RNA
Source: RNAcentral